Gallus gallus (chicken) is the source of this 1214-nucleotide long non-coding RNA. Lineage: Eukaryota; Metazoa; Chordata; Aves; Galliformes; Phasianidae. The record is from Ensembl.
GAAUCUUUUUCUGGGGAUCCCUCCUUGAUGCAGCUUUCCCUUGUGAUCCUGAAAUCUUCUGAUACAGGCUAGAUAAACCAAGUGUCCUCAGCCUCUCCUCAGGCGAAGUACCCUCUGGCCCUUUUAUCCGCUUUGCUGCCUACCUCUGCGCACUUUCAAGGAGCCGAACAUCAUUUUUAAUUGUGGAUUCCAGAACUGCAUGCAGUAUUAAAGGGCCAGAGUAAUCCCAAGAAAACAGAAGAUACUCUGAAAACACAGUCCUUCAGUUUCAAGCUUCUUGAGAUUCUGAAUAUAAUCACGGCAGAUAUGUGUACAUCUCUUAUUGCUUGGCUGAGCACAAAAGACUUAGAAGCAAUCCUACAGGAAAAAGACCCACUCCCUUUAUGCAUUCUUAAAAAUCAUUAAUGCUUUCUGGCAAGAGUAUGCAAGGCAGUUGUAAUAAUGGAGCAAUAUAAUUAACCUUCUUUAUAAAUGAAAUGUGCAAAUAUAAUACAUAGCACACAAGCUAGAUAGAAUUAUCUCUCCUUCAUUGUAGAUUUAGUUGGGAAUAAAUAGGUUCCUAACAGCUGCUCUGUGGAUUGGGAAUUUGAAACAUCUUUUACUUCUUCUCCUUCAAAGAUCUACUGAGAACCCGGGGCUAAGAAUGGCUAAAUGUGAAAUGUAGUCAUAUAUUAUUAUAUACAGAAUCAAUAUUUCCAAAGGCCAUCCAAACUGUUUGAGAAAAGAAGAAUUUGGCAUACUUUCUGUAAACUUCAAAAGAAGCAAAGCUGGAAAUACUUGUUUUACUUAUCAAUUGCAGUUUAACCGACAGAAUUCUGUGUAAGGCAAAGAUGGUAAAAGAAGAAAUUAAUUAUUCAUGUAGCCAUCAUUGAUUGGGAAUUCUCUUUAGCAGCUGUGGGAGAGAAACCCUGCAUAAUCCAUAAAAGGUAAAUGUAUUAUUUGAAGUAAAAUAUUGUCUGAUAUGAAGGGGGAGAUUUUUCUAACCAUUUUUGCGUAAAUGUGGAAGAGCCAUUCCCGUCCUUAAGGACAGGGCUGAACACAAUCCUUAUCUUUUGUAGAGAAAAAAUAGGUGGUUCCUUUUUUGAAUAUGUGUGGUCAUUUAUUUGUGUUACCUGUUUAAAAUACAAGAACCUGAUAAAAAGUCAAAAAACUGAAAUGGAAGGAGCUGAGAAUCCUAUAUGUUUUCCUUUAGAAAUAAAAUGACUCCAGUGAAU